This 2892-nucleotide ribosomal RNA is filed under the name Neisseria gonorrhoeae. Its description in RNAcentral is "23S ribosomal RNA". It matches the Rfam family "Bacterial large subunit ribosomal RNA". The record is from RNAcentral. Lineage: Bacteria; Pseudomonadati; Pseudomonadota; Betaproteobacteria; Neisseriales; Neisseriaceae.
GGUCAAGUGAAUAAGUGCAUCAGGCGGAUGCCUUGGCGAUGAUAGGCGACGAAGGACGUGUAAGCCUGCGAAAAGCGUGGGGGAGCUGGCAAUAAAGCUAUGAUUCCGCGAUGUCCGAAUGGGGAAACCCACUGCAUUCUGUGCAGUAUCCUAAGUUGAAUACAUAGGCUUAGAGAAGCGAACCCGGAGAACUGAACCAUCUAAGUACCCGGAGGAAAAGAAAUCAACCGAGAUUCCGCAAGUAGUGGCGAGCGAACGCGGAGGAGCCUGUACGUAAUAACUGUCGAGAUAGAAGAACAAGCUGGGAAGCUUGACCAUAGCGGGUGACAGUCCCGUAUUCGAAAUCUCAACAGCGGUACUAAGCGUACGAAAAGUAGGGCGGGACACGUGAAAUCCUGUCUGAAUAUGGGGGGACCAUCCUCCAAGGCUAAAUACUCAUCAUCGACCGAUAGUGAACCAGUACCGUGAGGGAAAGGCGAAAAGAACCCCGGGAGGGGAGUGAAACAGAACCUGAAACCUGAUGCAUACAAACAGUGGGAGCGCCCUAGUGGUGUGACUGCGUACCUUUUGUAUAAUGGGUCAACGACUUACAUUCAGUAGCGAGCUUAACCGGAUAGGGGAGGCGUAGGGAAACCGAGUCUUAAUAGGGCGAUGAGUUGCUGGGUGUAGACCCGAAACCGAGUGAUCUAUCCAUGGUCAGGUUGAAGGUGCCGUAACAGGUACUGGAGGACCGAACCCACGCAUGUUGCAAAAUGCGGGGAUGAGCUGUGGGUAGGGGUGAAAGGCUAAACAAACUCGGAGAUAGCUGGUUCUCCCCGAAAACUAUUUAGGUAGUGCCUCGAGCAAGACACUGAUGGGGGUAAAGCACUGUUAUGGCUAGGGGGUUAUUGCAACUUACCAACCCAUGGCAAACUCAGAAUACCAUCAAGUGGUUCCUCGGGAGACAGACAGCGGGUGCUAACGUCCGUUGUCAAGAGGGAAACAACCCAGACCGCCGGCUAAGGUCCCAAAUGAUAGAUUAAGUGGUAAACGAAGUGGGAAGGCACAGACAGCCAGGAUGUUGGCUUAGAAGCAGCCAUCAUUUAAAGAAAGCGUAAUAGCUCACUGGUCGAGUCGUCCUGCGCGGAAGAUGUAACGGGGCUCAAAUCUAUAACCGAAGCUGCGGAUGCCGGUUUACCGGCAUGGUAGGGGAGCGUUCUGUAGGCUGAUGAAGGUGCAUUGUAAAGUGUGCUGGAGGUAUCAGAAGUGCGAAUGUUGACAUGAGUAGCGAUAAAGCGGGUGAAAAGCCCGCUCGCCGAAAGCCCAAGGUUUCCUACGCAACGUUCAUCGGCGUAGGGUAAGUCGGCCCCUAAGGCGAGGCAGAAAUGCGUAGUCGAUGGGAAACAGGUUAAUAUUCCUGUACUUGAUUCAAAUGCGAUGUGGGGACGGAGAAGGUUAGGUUGGCAAGCUGUUGGAAUAGCUUGUUUAAGCCGGUAGGUGGAAGACUUAGGCAAAUCCGGGUUUUCUUAACACCGAGAAGUGAUGACGAGUGUCUACGGACACGAAGCAACCGAUACCACGCUUCCAGGAAAAGCCACUAAGCUUCAGUUUGAAUCGAACCGUACCGCAAACCGACACAGGUGGGCAGGAUGAGAAUUCUAAGGCGCUUGAGAGAACUCGGGAGAAGGAACUCGGCAAAUUGAUACCGUAACUUCGGGAGAAGGUAUGCCCUCUAAGGUUAAGGACUUGCUCCGUAAGCCCCGGAGGGUCGCAGAGAAUAGGUGGCUGCGACUGUUUAUUAAAAACACAGCACUCUGCCAACACGAAAGUGGACGUAUAGGGUGUGACGCCUGCCCGGUGCCGGAAGGUUAAUUGAAGAUGUGCAAGCAUCGGAUCGAAGCCCCGGUAAACGGCGGCCGUAACUAUAACGGUCCUAAGGUAGCGAAAUUCCUUGUCGGGUAAGUUCCGACCCGCACGAAUGGCGUAACGAUGGCCACACUGUCUCCUCCCGAGACUCAGCGAAGUUGAAGUGGUUGUGAAGAUGCAAUCUACCCGCUGCUAGACGGAAAGACCCCGUGAACCUUUACUGUAGCUUUGCAUUGGACUUUGAAGUCACUUGUGUAGGAUAGGUGGGAGGCUUGGAAGCAGAGACGCCAGUCUCUGUGGAGUCGUCCUUGAAAUACCACCCUGGUGUCUUUGAGGUUCUAACCCAGACCCGUCAUCCGGGUCGGGGACCGUGCAUGGUAGGCAGUUUGACUGGGGCGGUCUCCUCCCAAAGCGUAACGGAGGAGUUCGAAGGUUACCUAGGUCCGGUCGGAAAUCGGACUGAUAGUGCAAUGGCAAAAGGUAGCUUAACUGCGAGACCGACAAGUCGGGCAGGUGCGAAAGCAGGACAUAGUGAUCCGGUGGUUCUGUAUGGAAGGGCCAUCGCUCAACGGAUAAAAGGUACUCCGGGGAUAACAGGCUGAUUCCGCCCAAGAGUUCAUAUCGACGGCGGAGUUUGGCACCUCGAUGUCGGCUCAUCACAUCCUGGGGCUGUAGUCGGUCCCAAGGGUAUGGCUGUUCGCCAUUUAAAGUGGUACGUGAGCUGGGUUUAAAACGUCGUGAGACAGUUUGGUCCCUAUCUGCAGUGGGCGUUGGAAGUUUGACGGGGGCUGCUCCUAGUACGAGAGGACCGGAGUGGACGAACCUCUGGUGUACCGGUUGUAACGCCAGUUGCAUAGCCGGGUAGCUAAGUUCGGAAGAGAUAAGCGCUGAAAGCAUCUAAGCGCGAAACUCGCCUGAAGAUGAGACUUCCCUUGCGGUUUAACCGCACUAAAGGGUCGUUCGAGACCAGGACGUUGAUAGGUGGGGUGUGGAAGCGCGGUAACGCGUGAAGCUAACCCAUACUAAUUGCCCGUGAGGCUUGACUCU